UACGAAGGUGGCAAGCGUUACUCGGAAUUACCAGGCGUAAAGGGCAGGUAGGUGGUUUGGUUAGUCUGUUGUGAAAGCUCCUGGCUUAACUGGGAGAGGUCAACGGAUACUGCCGAACUUGAGUAUAGGAGAGGUUACUGGAAUUCCCGGUGUAGCGGUGAAAUGCGCAGAGAUCGGGAGGAACACCAAUGGCGAAAGCAGGUAACUGGACUAUUACUGACACUCAGCUGCGAAAGCUAGGGGAGCAAACAGG
This 253-nucleotide ribosomal RNA is filed under the name uncultured bacterium. RNAcentral describes it as "partial 16S ribosomal RNA". It matches the Rfam family "Bacterial small subunit ribosomal RNA", at positions 524 to 776 of the family's 1533-position model. The record is from RNAcentral.